GACCCGUCAGAUGAAAGGGAGAACAGGGAAAGGAGCCUGCAACGUGUGAACAGAGGAUGACACGAUCCAGACAUAUGAGAGAGAUUUUUCUGUGGAAUAACCCACGCCCAAAGUCUUAACGAGAAGAUGAACUGAAUUCAAACAAGGCCCAGUCACUCCCACAUCACUAAAGCACAAGCUGGAGAAACCCCCACAAAACCAAAGGGCAGACCGUUAACCUGGAUUAUUGUGCACCGAUAGAACAUGAUGCG
This 251-nucleotide long non-coding RNA is filed under the name Felis catus (domestic cat). Its description in RNAcentral is "lncRNA (ENSFCAG00000044272.2)". The record is from RNAcentral. Lineage: Eukaryota; Metazoa; Chordata; Mammalia; Carnivora; Felidae.